RNAcentral lists this ribosomal RNA (253 nucleotides) under uncultured bacterium. RNAcentral describes it as "partial 16S ribosomal RNA". It matches the Rfam family "Bacterial small subunit ribosomal RNA", at positions 524 to 776 of the family's 1533-position model. The record is from RNAcentral.
UACAGAGGGUGCAAACGUUGCUCGGAAUUACUGGGCGUAAAGCGCGUGUAGGCGGUCGGCUAAGUCGACUGUGAAAGCCCAUGGCUCAACCAUGGAAGUGCAGUUGAUACUUGCUGACUGGAGUCCUGGAGAGGGUGGUGGAAUUCCCAGUGUAGAGGUGAAAUUCGUAGAUAUUGGGAGGAACACCGGUGGCGAAGGCGGCCACCUGGACAGGUACUGACGCUGAGACGCGAAAGCGUGGGGAGCAAACAGG